CACCGCCCGUCACAUCACGAAAGUCAGUUGCUCUUGAAGUCGCUGCGCUAACCGCAAGGGGGUAGGCGCCUACGGAGUGGCUGGUGAUUGGGGUG
This 95-nucleotide ribosomal RNA is filed under the name uncultured bacterium. RNAcentral describes it as "partial 16S ribosomal RNA". It matches the Rfam family "Bacterial small subunit ribosomal RNA", at positions 1388 to 1482 of the family's 1533-position model. The record is from RNAcentral.